UCUAAGUGGAAUGUCUUUGAGGUUA
This 25-nucleotide non-coding RNA is filed under the name Mus musculus (house mouse). The record is from RNAcentral. Lineage: Eukaryota; Metazoa; Chordata; Mammalia; Rodentia; Muridae.